GACGGAGGGGGCUAGCGUUGUUCGGAAUUACUGGGCGUAAAGAGCGCGUAGGCGGACUAGUAAGUUGGAAGUGAAAUCCCAAGGCUUAACCUUGGAAUAGCUUUCAAAACUGCCAGUCUUGAGUGAAGUAGGGGAUGAUGGAAUUCCUAGUGUAGAGGUGAAAUUCUUAGAUAUUAGGAGGAACACCGAUGGCGAAGGCAGUCAUCUGGGCUUCAACUGACGCUGAUGCGCGAAAGCGUGGGGAGCAAACAGGAUUAGAUACCCUGGUAGUCCACGCCGUAAACGAUGAGUGCUAGAUAUCGGGAAAUUUAUUUUUCGGUUUCGCAGCUAACGCAUUAAGCACUCCGCCUGGGGAGUACGAUCGCAAGAUUA
RNAcentral lists this ribosomal RNA (372 nucleotides) under uncultured bacterium. RNAcentral's name for it is "bacterial SSU rRNA". It matches the Rfam family "Bacterial small subunit ribosomal RNA", at positions 524 to 896 of the family's 1533-position model. The record is from RNAcentral.